AAGUAAACCUUGAAUAUAAAAAUUGGAAAGAUAUUAUAGACAAGAUUAACAAGGCCUCUGUGCAAAGAUAACAUGCAAAUUCGUGAAGUGUUCCAUGUUAAA
This 102-nucleotide small nuclear RNA is filed under the name Castor canadensis (American beaver). The record is from RNAcentral. Lineage: Eukaryota; Metazoa; Chordata; Mammalia; Rodentia; Castoridae.